This 83-nucleotide transfer RNA is filed under the name Helianthus annuus (common sunflower). Its description in RNAcentral is "tRNA HanXRQr2_Chr07g0282941". The stretch from base 2 to 75 matches the Rfam family "tRNA". From Rfam's summary of the family: Transfer RNA (tRNA) molecules are approximately 80 nucleotides in length. Their secondary structure includes four short double-helical elements and three loops (D, anti-codon, and T loops). Lineage: Eukaryota; Viridiplantae; Streptophyta; Magnoliopsida; Asterales; Asteraceae. The record is from RNAcentral.
CGGGAUUGUAGUUUAAUAGGCAAGAGCACCGCCCUGUCAAGGCGGACGUUACGGGUUCGAGCCCCGUCAGUCCCAACGGAUCC